CCCAUUCAUUUAAACUUUAUUUAUAUGAAUAAAAGAACUUGAGACAAUUUAGCUCAAUUUUAAUGUUUCCCAAGCAUUAUUUUGACCAGGUACCCAGGUUUAAGUUAUGAACAUUGACAGUGUCCAUUAUAUAACCACACUUGAAGUUAUUAAGGACUUAACCAUUUUCUAAUAUUAGCCUAUUUUCUACACUGCUUUUCACAUAUAUGCCCAUUAAAAAUGGAAUGUCUGUUACAUUUAUUGGCUUGUGAGUGUUUCUGGAAAACUGCAGUAAGUGUGAAGGCCAAUUUCCAUGCUGGCAUUGCAUGCAUCCAAAUAUUAAUGCACGGAGGCACAGAAUUAGAGCAACAAGAGAGCAUAUUCAAACACUAGCAUGCGCCAUUCCCCUUUUUAUUGCUUGUUUGCUUAGUACUUCUUAAAACAGAAGGAAAGACUUGAAUUCAACGUUCAACUACCAAAGAAGGAGUAACAGCAGGACACAUACUCAGGACUUGAAUGAAAUUGUAAGCACUAGCUGAAGCAAAACAGUAGACAUGGGUAUAUAUCCAUAUAUAUAUAUAUAUAUAUCCUUAUUAUCUAAAACUCUUCUCAACCAGGGCCUUCCCAACAAAUUGGUAACAACAUGAUUUAUGUUGAAAUAUACACAAGAAAUAAGAGUGUGUUCUUUGUCUUUGGGAAUUUAAUAACUCAGACUAUCCAAAUUUGAAUUCAGGUCUGUAGGAAGUGAGAAGCCUGUACUAAGCAACUGUCCUACAUUUCUGCUGCAGUUAGGUUAUUUUGGACAAUUAUACCUAAACUAUCCUUGGUUUCAUCCAGCAAAAUGUAUACAGUACAAACAGGAAAGCAUGCCAGCCAGCUAGGGGUUUAAUAACGCAUGAUUUUUAUUCUCUUGGUCUGAAAAGUUGUAUCAAAAAAUGUAAACUAAUGCAAAUAACUCAAGAUUUAUGGGCCUCUUGUGCUUUAAAAAAGGAAAAAAGGUACCCACUAAUUUGCUCAGAUAUAGCAGGCUUAAUGGUUCUAUAUUUUGAAAAGUUUUUAAGAAUGGUUUCUAAUGUAGGAGAGGGAAAACAUCCACUAUACCUUUUCAGAAUUUAAAUGGAGGGCAGUAAACAUUCUUUACACCCAAAACCUAUGGCAGCAGUUCAAAUUUGACCAAGGUAAAUGUAGAAUGGAGAUGUUCUAAACACAGCUAGGACUCAGCAAGUCUAACACACUAAAAUCAUGUGAUUACAUUUUAAAAGAAAGUGCACAAAAACCAAAAAGAAAUUUUGAGACUUUUUUAUUUGAAGGUAAUCUUAAUGCUAUUAAAUUCACAAAUGCUAAUUUAAAUACCCAAUCCUAUUUACCUAAAACACACAUUGCAAACACACAAAUUAUCUGUUCUCUCCACAUGUCGGCGUCCAUUCAUAUCAUGGUUUGGAAAUGGGGAGAAUAGAUUCCCCUUAAACUGCAAGUCAGCAGGUGUUUCUUUACAGUUAACUUUAGCAAAAUUUAUACAAAAUAGUAAUUAACAAUUGAUCUUCUUUACUUGUUAACUCACAAGGAAACACCUUCAAAACUGCAUUUUGUUAAAGUUUCUGUACUAAAAUGUAGAAAAACUGAACUACACAGAUAUUGAAAAGUUAAAAAUUCCUUAAUUUUUUAUUCCUGGUACCACUACCACAAUUUACAGGGCAAUAUACCUGAUGUAAUGAAAAGAAAAAGAAUAAGACAAAGCUACAACAGAUAAAAGACCUGAGGAAUGUACAUCUAAUUGACGCUACAUUGCAUUAAUCGAUAGCUGCACUUCCUGCAAACUGUGGCUAUGACAGUCCUGAACAAGAAGGGUUUCCUGUUUAAGCUGCAGUAACUUUUCUGAUUAUGGAUCAUCGUUCCUUCUGUGACAGAUUUUUACAGUUCCUCUAAUGCACUUGGGACGACUGUCUCAAAGUAACCUGUAGCUUUCCUGACAACUCCUCACUCUCUCUCCUGCUAAGAACUGUAGCCCUUUCCUGCUGUUUUUAGAACCUUCUGCUACCAUAUCCACCACUUCCACCACCAGAUCCAUAACCACCAC
RNAcentral lists this long non-coding RNA (2056 nucleotides) under Homo sapiens (human). RNAcentral describes it as "HSALNT0161926". The record is from RNAcentral. Lineage: Eukaryota; Metazoa; Chordata; Mammalia; Primates; Hominidae.